UCUGACACAGGUGCUGCAUGGCUGUCGUCAGCUCGUGUCGUGAGAUGUUGGGUUAAGUCCCGUAACCGAGCGCAACCCUUGUCCUUAGUUACCAGCACGUUAGUGGUGGGCACUCUAAGGAGACUGCCGGUGACAAACCGGAGGAAGGUGGGAUGACGUCAAGUCAUCACUGGCCCUUACGGCCUGGGCUACACACGUGCUACAAUGGUCGGUACAAAGGGUUGCCAAGCCGCGAGGUGGAGCUAAUCCCAUAAACCGAUCGUAGUCCGGAUCGCAGUCUGCAACUCGACUGCGUGAAGUCGGAAUCGCUAGUAAUCGUGAAUCAGAAUGUCACGGUGAAUACGUUCCCGGGCCUU
This 356-nucleotide ribosomal RNA is filed under the name uncultured Pseudomonas sp. Its description in RNAcentral is "bacterial SSU rRNA". It matches the Rfam family "Bacterial small subunit ribosomal RNA", at positions 1028 to 1382 of the family's 1533-position model. Lineage: Bacteria; Pseudomonadati; Pseudomonadota; Gammaproteobacteria; Pseudomonadales; Pseudomonadaceae. The record is from RNAcentral.